GACGAACGCUGGCGGCGUGCUUAACACAUGCAAGUCGAACGAAGAGCGAUGGAAGCUUGCUUCUAUCAAUCUUAGUGGCGAACGGGUGAGUAACGCGUAAUCAACCUGCCCUUCAGAGGGGGACAACAGUUGGAAACGACUGCUAAUACCGCAUACGAUCUAACCUCGGCAUCGAGGAUAGAUGAAAGGUGGCCUCUAUUUAUAAGCUAUCACUGAAGGAGGGGAUUGCGUCUGAUUAGCUAGUUGGAGGGGUAACGGCCCACCAAGGCGAUGAUCAGUAGCCGGUCUGAGAGGAUGAACGGCCACAUUGGGACUGAGACACGGCCCAGACUCCUACGGGAGGCAGCAGUGGGGAAUCUUCCGCAAUGGACGAAAGUCUGACGGAGCAACGCCGCGUGAGUGAUGACGGCCUUCGGGUUGUAAAGCUCUGUUAAUCGGGACGAAAGGCCUUCUUGCGAAUAGUUAGAAGGAUUGACGGUACCGGAAUA
Molecule: ribosomal RNA, 488 nt
Filed under: Veillonella dispar
Lineage: Bacteria; Bacillati; Bacillota; Negativicutes; Veillonellales; Veillonellaceae
Description: bacterial SSU rRNA
Rfam family: Bacterial small subunit ribosomal RNA
Source: RNAcentral